This 29-nucleotide non-coding RNA is filed under the name Mus musculus (house mouse). The record is from RNAcentral. Lineage: Eukaryota; Metazoa; Chordata; Mammalia; Rodentia; Muridae.
UGACCAUGUAAAAGGAAAGCCCCUGAUAU